UAGGUUGUCAUAACCAAAUUUCCUUUUCUUAUCGGUUAACACCACCCCUCUUCUGAAAUUAUGCUAACUUUUAAAGGUGAACCUGCGGAAGGAUCAUUAAUGAGUUAGAGUCUUCUAGGCCCGAUCUCCAACCCUUUGUAUAAUUACCACGUUGCUUUGGCGGGCCCGUCUCUUAAAACAGGCCGCUGGGGAUCUCUGAUCUCUGGCCCGUGCUCGUCAGUAGCCCACAACAAAAUCAUUAAAAACAUGUUCAAUCUGAAAAUAUUUAAAUAAACUAAAACUUUCAACAACGGAUCUCUUGGUUCUGGCAUCGAUGAAGAACGCAGCGAAAUGCGAUAAGUAAUGCGAAUUGCAGAAUUCAGUGAGUCAUCGAAUCUUUGAACGCACAUUGCGCCCUUUAGUAUUCUGAAGGGCAUACCUGUUCGAGCGUCAUUAUCACUAAUCAAGCCUGGCUUGCUGUUGGACCUCUUGUCGUUGAAAGACAGGCCCUAAAGAUAAUGACGGUGUCAGUUGGACCCUAGAUGCAACGAGCUUUAACUAGCACGCAUGUUAGUGGCUUUCUGACCCGGUCUUUUAUAACCCAUUUCUUAAGGUUGACCUCGGAUCAGGUAGGAAUACCCGCUGAACUUAAGCAUAUCAAUAGGCGGAGGA
RNAcentral lists this ribosomal RNA (651 nucleotides) under Ascomycota sp. CH-Co9. RNAcentral's name for it is "eukaryotic LSU rRNA". The stretch from base 279 to 432 matches the Rfam family "5.8S ribosomal RNA". Lineage: Eukaryota; Fungi; Ascomycota. The record is from RNAcentral.